ACAUCAACUAUUGUUGAAUUGCACUGCGUUUAGUAGAAAAAUAUCUGGAAUACUUAGACAUAACAGUUGGAGUUUGUCAAUUCAUCAAACUGUUUCAAAGUUCCAAAGAUGACUUCUGAUUUAGUGAUGAUUCCUGAUCAACUUGUUUCCUAUGAAGAAUUAUCAGAAUUCGUAGAAUAAUGAUAAUAUCCAAUUACCAGGCGAAAUGCUCCCAAAUACUACUCAAAGCUACACCAAAGGCGCCUAUUAGAGCAGUCUGACUUUAAUGGACCACUUAGGGAUCUAAAGCAAGAUACAGCCACAGGAUGAACCACCUUGGAAAAAACAAUGAUCGAGCCAAUGGAACUUUGAGAGAUGUGGAGUGGCCAGACCCUUCCCUCGUUCCAUCCUGCCAGCUUCUUGGGGGUACCCCAUCACCACUCCGAAGUCCCUCUGCAUGGUGCUGGCUGGGUCUCCCAGGUCGCCUAAUUGGAUGGAAGGAAACUGAUGUGAGCAGGACUUGCACAGACUCAAAAGAAUUGUAGAGUUGAAAGCGACUACAAGGAUCACUUCUCUGCAGUGUGCAGUAAAAGCAAUUAAACUUCCUAUGACAGGCGAUUUAAACUCAGUGACAUGUUUCCUCUCAACAAGUUUUUCGAUGGCAGAUAAACUAAGGAGUAGCAGAGCAGCCAGGUGAAUGGCUCAAGGAGGUGUUGCCUGCACAAGGACUUUUCUUAGUGGACAGAUCAAGCACUCCGUCUGCAACAACAUGAGUGUAAUUUAAGAAUGGGAAAGAAUGGGAAAACCAAACACAUAUUUGAAAACUUAUUAAGGUCUUAACUUGUUAAUCUAGGUUCAAUUCAAUGACUCUUCCUGAACUUCGCAUUACAGUAUCUUAGCACAUCAAUAA
Long non-coding RNA from Pantherophis guttatus, 889 nucleotides. RefSeq lists it as uncharacterized. The record is from RefSeq and is a predicted model, not a curated record. Lineage: Eukaryota; Metazoa; Chordata; Lepidosauria; Squamata; Colubridae.